GGCUUGUCUAUGUGAAAGCCUUCGGCUCAACCGAAGAAGUGCAUUGGAAACUGGGAGACUUGAGUGCAGAAGAGGACAGUGGAACUCCAUGUGUAGCGGUGAAAUGCGUAGAUAUAUGGAAGAACACCAGUGGCGAAGGCGGCUGUCUGGUCUGCAACUGACGCUGAGGCUCGAAAGCAUGGGUAGCGAACAGGAUUAGAUACCCUGGUAGUCCAUGCCGUAAACGAUGAUUACUAAGUGUUGGAGGGUUUCCGCCCUUCAGUGCUGCAGCUAACGCAUUAAGUAAUCCGCCUGGGGAGUACGACCGCAAGGUUGAAACUCAAAAGAAUUGACGGGGGCCCGCACAAGCGGUGGAGCAUGUGGUUUAAUUCGAAGCUACGCGAAGAACCUUACCAGGUCUUGACAUCUUCUGACAGUCUAAGAGAUUAGAGGUUCCCUUCGGGGACAGAAUGACAGGUGGUGCAUGGUUGUCGUCAGCUCGUGUCGUGAGAUGUUGGGUUAAGUCCCGCAACGAGCGCAACCCUUAUUACUAGUUGCCAGCAUUAAGUUGGGCACUCUAGUGAGACUGCCGGUGACAAACCGGAGGAAGGUGGGGACGACGUCAAAUCAUCAUGCCCCUUAUGACCUU
Molecule: ribosomal RNA, 628 nt
Filed under: Pediococcus sp. YCO-04
Lineage: Bacteria; Bacillati; Bacillota; Bacilli; Lactobacillales; Lactobacillaceae
Description: bacterial SSU rRNA
Rfam family: Bacterial small subunit ribosomal RNA
Source: RNAcentral